Molecule: ribosomal RNA, 424 nt
Filed under: uncultured bacterium
Lineage: Bacteria
Description: bacterial SSU rRNA
Rfam family: Bacterial small subunit ribosomal RNA
Source: RNAcentral
GGGGAAUAUUGGACAAUGGGGGGAACCCUGAUCCAGCAAUGCCGCGUGUGUGAAGAAGGCCUGAGGGUUGUAAAGCACUUUCGGUGGGGAGGAGGAUUGAUUGGUUAAGAGCUGAUUGAUUGGACGUUACCCACAGAAGAAGCACCGGCUAACUCCGUGCCAGCAGCCGCGGUAAUACGGAGGGUGCGAGCGUUAAUCGGAAUUAUUGGGCGUAAAGGGUGCGUAGGUUGUGGAAUAAGUUAUCUGUGAAAUCCCUGGCUUAACCUGGGCAGGUCAGAUGAGACUGUUUUACUCGAGUAUGGGAGAGGGUAGUGGAAUUUCCGGUGUAGCGGUGAAAUGCGUAGAGAUCGGAAGGAACACCAGUGGCGAAGGCGGCUACCUGGCUUAAUACUGACACUGAAGCACGAAAGCGUGGGGAGCAAAC